Molecule: ribosomal RNA, 274 nt
Filed under: uncultured bacterium
Lineage: Bacteria
Description: partial 16S ribosomal RNA
Rfam family: Bacterial small subunit ribosomal RNA
Source: RNAcentral
CUACGGAGGGUGCAAGCGUUAUUCGGAAUCACUGGGCGUAAAGGACGCAUAGGCGGGUUGGCAAGUCAGAUGUGAAAUCCUACAGCUUAACUGUAGAACUGCAUUUGAAACUGCUAACCUAGAGUAUGGGAGGGGGAGAUGGAAUUAGUGGUGUAGGGGUAAAAUCCGUAGAUAUCACUAGGAAUACCGAAAGCGAAGGCGAUCUCCUGGAACAUAACUAACGCUAAGGCGUGAAAGCGUGGGGAGCAAACAGGAUUAGAAACCCUAGUAGUCC